AUUGAACGCUGGCGGCAGGCCUAACACAUGCAAGUCGAGCGAGCGGCGGGCGGGUGAGUAAAGUGUGGGGACUGCCCGAGAGAGAGGGGUAACUACUGGAAAAGGUAGCUAAUACCCCAUACUAUCGGAUAACCCAUAUGGGAUUAGCUAGUAGGUGAGGGAAUGGCUCACCUAGGCGACGAUCCCUCGCUGGUCUGAGAGGAUGAUCAGCCACACUGGGACUGAGACACGGCCCAGACUCCUACGGAGGCAGCAGUGGGGAAUAUUGCACAAUGGGCGCAAGCCCGAUGCAGCCAUGCCGCGUGUAUGAAGAAGGCCCUAGGGUUGUAAAGUACUUUCAGUGGGGAGGCGUUACCGACAGAAGAAGCACCGGCUAACUCCGUGCCAGCAGCCGCGGUAAUUC
This 403-nucleotide ribosomal RNA is filed under the name uncultured bacterium. Its description in RNAcentral is "partial 16S ribosomal RNA". It matches the Rfam family "Bacterial small subunit ribosomal RNA", at positions 30 to 526 of the family's 1533-position model. The record is from RNAcentral.